This 360-nucleotide ribosomal RNA is filed under the name Listeria monocytogenes. RNAcentral describes it as "bacterial LSU rRNA". It matches the Rfam family "Bacterial large subunit ribosomal RNA", at positions 1089 to 1449 of the family's 2925-position model. Lineage: Bacteria; Bacillati; Bacillota; Bacilli; Caryophanales; Listeriaceae. The record is from RNAcentral.
ACAACCAGGAUGUUGGCUUAGAAGCAGCCACCAUUGAAAGAGUGCGUAAUAGCUCACUGGUCGAGUGACCCCGCGCCGAAAAUGUACCGGGGCUAAACAUAUUACCGAAACUGUGGAUGAACCUCUUCGGAGGUUCGUGGUAGGAGAGCGUUCUAAGGGCGGUGAAGUCAGACCGGAAGGACUGGUGGAGCGCUUAGAAGUGAGAAUGCCGGUAUGAGUAGCGAAAGAAGGGUGAGAAUCCCUUCCACCGAAUAUCUAAGGUUUCCUGAGGAAGGCUCGUCCGCUCAGGGUUAGUCGGGACCUAAGCCGAGGCCGAUAGGCGUAGGCGAUGGACAACAGGUAGAGAUUCCUGUACCAGUG